AAUAGCGAUGGCGGGCGCUAUACAUGCAAGUCGUACGCUUCUUUUUCCACCGGAGCUUGCUCCACCGGAAAAAGAGGAGUGGCGAACGGGUGAGUAACACGUGGGUAACCUGCCCAUCAGAAGGGGAUAACACUUGGAAACAGGUGCUAAUACCGUAUAACAAUCGAAACCGCAUGGUUUUGAUUUGAAAGGCGCUUUCGGGUGUCGCUGAUGGAUGGACCCGCGGUGCAUUAGCUAGUUGGUGAGGUAACGGCUCACCAAGGCCACGAUGCAUAGCCGACCUGAGAGGGUGAUCGGCCACAUUGGGACUGAGACACGGCCCAAACUCCUACGGGAGGCAGCAGUAGGGAAUCUUCGGCAAUGGACGAAAGUCUGACCGAGCAACGCCGCGUGAGUGAAGAAGGUUUUCGGAUCGUAAAACUCUGUUGUUAGAGAAGAACAAGGAUGAGAGUAACUGUUCAUCCCUUGACGGUAUCUAACCAGAAAGCCACGGCUAACUACGUGCCAGCAGCCGCGGUAAUACGUAGGUGGCAAGCGUUGUCCGGAUUUAUUGGGCGUAAAGCGAGCGCAGGCGGUUUCUUAAGUCUGAUGUGAAAGCCCCCGGCUCAACCGGGGAGGGUCAUUGGAAACUGGGAGACUUGAGUGCAGAAGAGGAGAGUGGAAUUCCAUGUGUAGCGGUGAAAUGCGUAGAUAUAUGGAGGAACACCAGUGGCGAAGGCGGCUCUCUGGUCUGUAACUGACGCUGAGGCUCGAAAGCGUGGGGAGCAAACAGGAUUAGAUACCCUGGUAGUCCACGCCGUAAACGAUGAGUGCUAAGUGUUGGAGGGUUUCCGCCCUUCAGUGCUGCAGCUAACGCAUUAAGCACUCCGCCUGGGGAGUACGACCGCAAGGUUGAAACUCAAAGGAAUUGACGGGGGCCCGCACAAGCGGUGGAGCAUGUGGUUUAAUUCGAAGCAACGCGAGACCUUACCAGGUCUUGACAUCCUUUGACACUCUAGAGAUAGAGCUUCCCUUCGGGGCAAGUGACAGUGUGCAUGUGUCGUCAGCUCGUGUCGUGAGAUGUUGGGUAAGUCCGCACGAGCGCACCCUAUGUAGUUGCAUCAUUCAGUUGGCACUCUAGCAGACUGGCGGGUGACAACCCGGAGAAGGUGGGGAUGAACGUCAAUUCUUCUAUGGCCUUAUGACCUGGCUCUACACACGGCUCAUUGGGGAGUUACACGGAGUGUGGCGAAUUCCAGGCUGACAUAACCCUAGAGAGUU
RNAcentral lists this ribosomal RNA (1260 nucleotides) under Enterococcus faecalis. RNAcentral's name for it is "bacterial SSU rRNA". It matches the Rfam family "Bacterial small subunit ribosomal RNA", at positions 29 to 1283 of the family's 1533-position model. The record is from RNAcentral. Lineage: Bacteria; Bacillati; Bacillota; Bacilli; Lactobacillales; Enterococcaceae.